Molecule: long non-coding RNA, 2710 nt
Filed under: Olea europaea subsp. europaea
Lineage: Eukaryota; Viridiplantae; Streptophyta; Magnoliopsida; Lamiales; Oleaceae
Rfam family: MIR398 microRNA precursor family (bases 33-174)
Source: RNAcentral
GGUAAUAAGUUUUGGGAAAGAGGGUAAUGAUGAAAGGUCCAAUAGGGUCGACAUGAGACCACGUGUAUAUCACAAUUUCAUCGUAGUGUUUUUCCAUUUGAGCUUUCGACUUUUAAAAGGUCGUGCGAAAAAGUGAUUCGAUAUGUGUUCUCAGGUCGCCCCUGUAGGACCUUUUAUUACCGUAGACUGAAUUCAACCGGCACAAAGAUGUUGCAAUUGGUUAACACAAUCGAAAAAUAGGUUCGUUUAUCUUUCCUUGUUCUUUGGGCAAAUUAGAUUAAACUAGUGUUUUAAGUAAUAAUUUCUUAUUCACGUCAUUUCAAAUAUCUGUAAUCAAUAUUAUUUUGGCGUUUCUUACAUAGUCGUGCUCAGCUAUUACGAAGAAAAUAAUUAUUUUACACGUUGCAUUUAAUUGUGUCGCACUAUUUAGUAAGAAGUACAUUUGUUAUCUUGUCUGUAUCUAUUACGUAACACAAUUUUACUUGUAUCCAUGUUUUUCUUUUUGAUAUGAAUAAUAUUAUUGCUAUCAUCGCUAUCAUUAUGUUCCAGCAAAAAGUAAGAGGGCAUGAGAAUAAAAUCUUGAAGAGGUAUUAUACCCAUUACUCGUUUCUAUUAAGGAAUUAAAAAAGUGGCUCCCUUCGUUUUCAUCGCCAAAAUAUUGAUUUUGAUUAUCUAUGACUUAUUUUCAAAGGAUAAUUCUACAUGUACCUUAAGAUGUCCAUAAUGUACCUAUGGAAUUCUAUCUUUGGAGGGUUGAAAAAGCUGUUUUUCAAAAUACCAAAAGAUGCUGCCCAAUUCCCAUCCCAAACACAGUAGAUAAUAUCCGCCGUCGUCGCCACCACAUUUGCAGGUUGCGGCUGUUGUCUUUACCGUCGACUAACUCUAUCUGCACCUGCUACUCACCAGCUUCGAUAUCAAAUAUGUUGUUUGUUUUGGUUUCCAUCUUGUUUUAUAACUUGAUUUCCAUAUCUUUAAUCAUUCUAAAAAAUUUUCGUAAGUGGUUGGUGUCGGAAAAAUGAACGUGCAUAAAUUAUAUUUUAAUAUCUUACCUUUUACAAGCACAAAGUCAGACAAAAUUUAUACUUACCGAAAUUGAAUACAUGAAGUAGAAAUGAGAAAUACAUGAAUAUGAAUUUGGUUGAGGAAAAGUUAAAGUUUUUGUUCUUAAAACGAUUAUAUCUCACACGGGUGCUAACAGUUUUUUGGACAUUCGUCUUCCAACAUACAACGACCACGUUCUGCAAUAUAAUCAUUUCAAAUUAUGUAGACCAACGAAUAUACUUAUGUUUUAAACUCUUUUUAUAUGAAACUUGAUUUCAAAUAAAUGUGGAAUUGUAUUGAAAUGUAUAUGCUUUAGUAUAAUAAUGCAAUCAUGAAGUAAAUGAAUUUCAUCCAAACACAUGGAAUCUAUAUAUAAUUGUUGAAAAGUUGCGCUUCAAAAGACACAACUCCUGAAAAUUAUCUCAAUACAUGAAGAGAUACACCUAUUGAGAAAAUAAUAAUUCCAAAAGUCACGAUCUUUCACAUGGAAAGACACAUUUUCAUCCAAACGGUUCUCGAAUAUUUCAUAAUAUUCUACACGAUUUUCUAAUAAUUUCACGUAUUUAAGUGACUUGAAUUUGAUUUAAUUUUUCAUUAAACAAAUAACGAUAUCCACUUAAAUAACUAUUUCAAAAUUGAUAAAAACCAAUUCUCUAUACGAAAUUCAAGCAAUUCAUCUCAUGAAUAAAAAUUAAUGUAAAUGACUAUGCAGACACUAGUAGAAAGACAAGGGUUAAGAUAGGCACGUCAAAACGAAUAGGUUGGCCCAAAUCGGCCCACCUGCAAGCUUAACCGGCAUGAGCCCGAUAGUGCUAUCAACCCGGCCCAUGCCAAUUUUCGAUCCAAAUCAAGCCCGAACCAUAAUAUAUUAUUGAAGACCGAAUUGGGCCAUACGCCCGCCACUGUGGUGAGUCAGUUAAGAUCUGGUUAGGAUCGCACGAUCUAUUUAAUUUACAAUUUGAGGAAUGAAAGCAAAUUUUGUUUCUAUUAACGUUCUUUGGAAUUUGAAAAGGUCUAAUGCCGACAGGGGCAAAUCUAGGAUUCGGAGUAAGUACGGAAGGUCGUUGGUUGAUCUUUGGUCACAAUAAUUAUUUAUGCUAAAUGUGAAUAUAUAUUAUUUUUGCAACACUUGUUAACUGAAUUCAAUCUGUUCAAGCGCUCUAUAUUAUUCAUAAUUCAAAGGAAGGUCGAAGAUUCGAAAUUUGAAUCCUUUUGUUUGCAUUAAAACCACUAAAUUGAAUAUAUAAAUUGUUACACGGAAUGCGACGAUGGUCAAGUCCCCAACAAUCUUAAUAAGGGUCAACGGUUCGAAUUCCCUCCUUGCGUUAGUUUUAGCAAAAAUCAUUGAUUUAGAAAAAUUGAACAAUAAAUUGCUUUGAAUUAGAAUCGAACCCGGGACUUCUCAUGUGGUUGUGGAAGCAUCAAUCAACCACACUAGAGGAAGCGUUUGGCCUAAAAUGACUUAUCAGGUAUAUAAUAUAAAACUUUAGACAUCAUCAACAAAAAAAAAAAAAAAAUGUUCCUUCCGGCGGAUCUAGCACCCACGGCCCUGGGGGCUCGCCAGGUGCUGGAUCCGCCAGUGAAUGCCGACAUUGUUAAUGGCAGAUAUUUGACACGUGAAAGUGAUUGGUAGUAGGGUUGUCGCUUUUUUUUUUUUUUUUUCAAUUAU